UGGGGAAUAUUGGACAAUGGGGGGAACCCUGAUCCAGCCAUGCCGCGUGUGUGAAGAAGGCCUUAUGGUUGUAAAGCACUUUAAGCGAGGAGGAGGGUACUGGUAUUAAUACUACCAGCUACUGGACGUUACUCGCAGAAUAAGCACCGGCUAACUCUGUGCCAGCAGCCGCGGUAAUACAGAGGGUGCGAGCGUUAAUCGGAUUUACUGGGCGUAAAGCGUGCGUAGGCGGCUAAUUGAGUCGGAUGUGAAAUCCCCGAGCUUAACUUGGGAAUUGCAUUCGAUACUGGUUAUCUAGAGUGUGGGAGAGGAUGGUAGAAUUCCAGGUGUAGCGGUGAAAUGCGUAGAGAUCUGGAGGAAUACCGAUGGCGAAGGCAGCCAUCUGGCCUAACACUGACGCUGAGGUACGAAAGCAUGGGGAGCAAACAGG
This 430-nucleotide ribosomal RNA is filed under the name Pseudomonadota bacterium. RNAcentral's name for it is "Proteobacteria bacterium partial 16S ribosomal RNA". It matches the Rfam family "Bacterial small subunit ribosomal RNA", at positions 355 to 776 of the family's 1533-position model. Lineage: Bacteria; Pseudomonadati; Pseudomonadota. The record is from RNAcentral.